This 402-nucleotide ribosomal RNA is filed under the name uncultured bacterium. Its description in RNAcentral is "bacterial SSU rRNA". It matches the Rfam family "Bacterial small subunit ribosomal RNA", at positions 355 to 774 of the family's 1533-position model. The record is from RNAcentral.
UGGGGAAUAUUGGACAAUGGGGGAAACCCUGAUCCAGCAAUGCCGCGUGAGUGAAGAAGGCCUUAGGGUUGUAAAGCUCUUUCGCCCGCGAAGAUAAUGACGGUAGCGGGAGAAGAAGCCCCGGCUAACUCCGUGCCAGCAGCCGCGGUAAUACGGAGGGGGCUAGCGUUGUUCGGAAUCAUUGGGCGUAAAGGGCGCGUAGGCGGAUAUUUAAGUCUGGUGUGAAAACCUAGGGCUCAACCCUGGGAGUGCAUCGGAAACUGGGUAUCUUGAGGACAGGAGAGGAAAGUGGAAUUCCACGUGUAGCGGUGAAAUGCGUAGAUAUGUGGAGGAACACCAGUGGCGAAGGCGACUUUCUGGACUGUAACUGACGCUGAGGCGCGAAAGCGUGGGGAGCAAACA